AUCGCUUCUCGGCCUUUUGGCUAAGAUCAAGUGUAGUAAAAGAAGAAAAAAGAAUCGGUAUUUUAGAAAAAUGCCAUCUCAGCCAAAAGACAUUUUGUCACAUUGGGCAAUUUUAAAUAAAGAAAAUGUUUGACGUUAGGAGCUUUUU
Molecule: small nuclear RNA, 148 nt
Filed under: Fukomys damarensis (Damara mole-rat)
Lineage: Eukaryota; Metazoa; Chordata; Mammalia; Rodentia; Bathyergidae
Description: U2 spliceosomal RNA
Rfam family: U2 spliceosomal RNA
About the family: U2 is a small nuclear RNA (snRNA) component of the spliceosome (involved in pre-mRNA splicing). Complementary binding between U2 snRNA (in an area lying towards the 5' end but 3' to hairpin I) and the branchpoint sequence (BPS) of the intron results the bulging out of an unpaired adenosine, on the BPS, which initiates a nucleophilic attack at the intronic 5' splice site, thus starting the first of two transesterification reactions that mediate splicing.
Source: Rfam by way of RNAcentral